Homalodisca vitripennis (glassy-winged sharpshooter) is the source of this 693-nucleotide long non-coding RNA. RefSeq lists it as uncharacterized. The record is from RefSeq and is a predicted model, not a curated record. Lineage: Eukaryota; Metazoa; Arthropoda; Insecta; Hemiptera; Cicadellidae. The transcript is spliced from 3 exons.
CAGUGCGGAGCUGUCUGUCUGCAGUCGCUGAGUUGCGAGGCGGAUGUCAUGUGCGGAGGUGUGUCAAGCCGUAAUAAUUAAAGAAUUGUGUCAAAUUUUUACACCUUCACUGGCGAUUAAAAGUAUUGAAAUUAUUUUUAUAGCGUGCUGUAAAUUAAUUAAGUUCUGUGCAGUGCGUUAAAAUGACAUAACUGAAUGAAAACCAAUUUCAAAACAACGGCUGUUUGAUCAUGCCAGCAGUCUGUUCCUGCACGUUUUACAGACAUCAUGAAGUCCGCAAAGCCAUCAGCAUCUCACUCAAAAACGGUCUGCACCUACGUUCCACCAUUGUAACUGCAUGGCUAGUUUAGUUUUUUUAACAAUGCUUGCAUUACCGUCUUAACUUAAUAGUGACUGUUGCUUACUAGACACUGUUUAAUGUGUGCAGUAGUGCUUUAUUUGUGAUUUGUAAAUAGUGCCAAAAACUUUAACAUAGUUUGGGAGUACAACGAGGAACCUGCUCCAGGAAAUAUAAGAGCUAUACUGAAGGCAUUUAAAUAAAAUCCAUAAGAAACAAUUUUUAGUUUACUAGUUUCAAAACAUUUAUAACAUUUAAUGUGGAUAUUACAAGUUUUUGAUUGAAUUUUGAUUGCUUGUUUUAAGAAAACUGUGCAUUUUACCAAACAUUCUGUAUAAAGUUCCAGUAAGUCAAAA